GAUGAACGCUGGCGGCGUGCCUAAUACAUGCAAGUCGAGCGAACAGACGAGGAGCUUGCUCCUCUGACGUUAGCGGCGGACGGGUGAGUAACACGUGGAUAACCUACCUAUAAGACUGGGAUAAAUUCGGGAAACCGGAGCUAAUACCGGAUAAUAUAUUGAACCGCAUGGUUCAAUAGUGAAAGACGGUUUUGCUGUCACUUAUAGAUGGAUCCGCGCCGCAUUAGCUAGUUGGUAAGGUAACGGCUUACCAAGGCAACGAUGCGUAGCCGACCUGAGAGGGUGAUCGGCCACACUGGAACGGAGACACGGUCCAGACUCCUACGGGAGGCAGCAGUAGGGAAUCUUCCGCAAUGGGCGAAAGCCUGACGGAGCAACGCCGCGUGAGUGAUGAAGGUCUUCGGAUCGUAAAACUCUGUUAUUAGGGAAGAACAAAUGUGUAAGUAACUAUGCACGUCUUGACGGUACCUAAUCAGAAAGCCACGGCUAACUACGUG
This 497-nucleotide ribosomal RNA is filed under the name uncultured bacterium. RNAcentral describes it as "partial 16S ribosomal RNA". It matches the Rfam family "Bacterial small subunit ribosomal RNA", at positions 28 to 507 of the family's 1533-position model. The record is from RNAcentral.